This 483-nucleotide ribosomal RNA is filed under the name uncultured bacterium. RNAcentral's name for it is "partial 16S ribosomal RNA". It matches the Rfam family "Bacterial small subunit ribosomal RNA", at positions 28 to 507 of the family's 1533-position model. The record is from RNAcentral.
GACGAACGCUGGCGGCGUGCUUAACACAUGCAAGUCGAACGAUGAAGCGGGUGCUUGCACUCGUGGAUUAGUGGCGAACGGGCGAGUAACACGUGAGUAACCAGUCCUUUUCUUUGGGAUAACGGCUGGAAACGGCUGCUAAUACUGGAUAUUCAGGCUGCAUCGCAUGGUGUGGUUUGGAAAGGUUUUUUCUGGGAUUGGGUGGGCUCGCGGCCUAUCAGCUUGUUGGUGGGGUGAUGGCUUACCAAGGCUUUGACGGGUAGCCGGCCUGAGAGGGUGGUCGGUCGCACUGGGACUGAGAUACGGCCCAGACUCCUACGGGAGGCAGCAGUGGGGAAUAUUGCACAAUGGACGAAAGUUUGAUGCAGCGACGCCGCGUGGAGGGUGUAGGCCUUCGGGUUGUGAACUCCUUUUUCUCGCGAAAAAGGCACAGUUUUGGCUGUGUUGAUGGUAGUGGGGGAAGAAGCGCCGGCUAACUACGUG